AUACGACUCUCGGCAACGGAUAUCUCGGCUCUCGCAUCGAUGAAGAACGUAGCGAAAUGCGAUACUUGGUGUGAAUUGCAGAAUCCCGUGAACCAUCGAGUCUUUGAACGCAAGUUGCGCCCAAGGCCUUUCGGUCGAGGGCACAUCUGCUUGGGCGUUAAACAACU
RNAcentral lists this ribosomal RNA (167 nucleotides) under Piper aduncum. Its description in RNAcentral is "5.8S ribosomal RNA". It matches the Rfam family "5.8S ribosomal RNA". Rfam says of the family: 5.8S ribosomal RNA (5.8S rRNA) is a component of the large subunit of the eukaryotic ribosome. It is transcribed by RNA polymerase I as part of the 45S precursor that also contains 18S and 28S rRNA. Functionally, it is thought that 5.8S rRNA may be involved in ribosome translocation. The record is from RNAcentral. Lineage: Eukaryota; Viridiplantae; Streptophyta; Magnoliopsida; Piperales; Piperaceae.